UGGGAGCCGAUGGCGUUGUGAUAUCAUAAUGCAGAUCGUGCUGAGAGUGGGCUUAAAGCCCAGACCGUUAUUACCUGAUUCGGAUAAUGCCGGCGUAGGGAGAAAGAAAA
Molecule: non-coding RNA, 110 nt
Filed under: bovine gut metagenome
Source: RNAcentral